CACGUAGGGGGCAAGCGUUGUCCGGAUUCAUUGGGCGUAAAGAGCUCGUAGGCGGUUCGAUAAGUCGGGUGUGAAACCUCCAGGCUCAACCUGGAGACGCCACCCGAUACUGUCGUGACUAGAGUCCAGUAGGGGAGCGUGGAAUUCCUGGUGUAGCGGUGAAAUGCGCAGAUAUCGUAAGGAAGACCAGUGGCGAAGGCGGGUCUCUGGACAGUUCCUGACGCUGAGGCACGAAGGCCAGGGGAGCAAACGGG
Molecule: ribosomal RNA, 254 nt
Filed under: uncultured bacterium
Lineage: Bacteria
Description: partial 16S ribosomal RNA
Rfam family: Bacterial small subunit ribosomal RNA
Source: RNAcentral